GACGAACGCUGGCGGCGUGCUUAACACAUGCAAGUCGAACGGUGAAGCCCUUCGGGGUGGAUCAGUGGCGAACGGGUGAGUAACACGUGAGCAACCUACCCUUGACUCUGGGAUAACUCCGGGAAACCGGUGCUAAUACCGGAUACGACCUUCGGCCUCAUGGUCUGUUGGUGGAAAGAAUUUUGGUCAGGGAUGGGCUCGCGGCCUAUCAGCUUGUUGGUGAGGUAAUGGCUCACCAAGGCGACGACGGGUAGCCGGCCUGAGAGGGCGACCGGCCACACUGGGACUGAGACACGGCCCAGACUCCUACGGGAGGCAGCAGUGGGGAAUAUUGCACAAUGGGCGAAAGCCUGAUGCAGCGACGCCGCGUGAGGGAUGACGGCCUUCGGGUUGUAAACCUCUUUCAGCUCCGAAGAAGCGAAAGUGACGGUAGGAGCAGAAGAAGCACCGGCUAACUACGUGCCAGCCGCCGCCGUAACAC
Molecule: ribosomal RNA, 481 nt
Filed under: uncultured bacterium
Lineage: Bacteria
Description: bacterial SSU rRNA
Rfam family: Bacterial small subunit ribosomal RNA
Source: RNAcentral